RNAcentral lists this ribosomal RNA (468 nucleotides) under uncultured bacterium. Its description in RNAcentral is "partial 16S ribosomal RNA". It matches the Rfam family "Bacterial small subunit ribosomal RNA", at positions 28 to 507 of the family's 1533-position model. The record is from RNAcentral.
GACGAACGCUGGCGGCGUGCUUAACACAUGCAAGUCGAACGGAAGGGCCCUGCUUUUGUGGGGUGCUCGAGUGGCGAACGGGUGAGUAACACGUGAGUAACCUGCCCUUGACUUUGGGAUAACUUCAGGAAACUGGGGCUAAUACCGGAUAGGAGCUCCUGCUGCAUGGUGGGGGUUGGAAAGUUUCGGCGGUUGGGGAUGGACUCGCGGCUUAUCAGCUUGUUGGUGGGGUAGUGGCUUACCAAGGCUUUGACGGGUAGCCGGCCUGAGAGGGUGACCGGGCACAUUGGGACUGAGAUACGGCGCAGACGCCUACGGGAGGCAGCAGGGGGGAAUAUUGCACAAUGGGCGGAAGCCUGAGGCAGCAACGCCGCGUGCGGGAUGACGGCCUUCGGGUUGUAAACCGCUUUCGCCUGUGACGAAGCGUGAGUGACGGUAAUGGGUAAAGAAGCACCGGCUAACUACGUG